CCUACGGGGGGCAGCAGUGGGGAAUAUUGGACAAUGGGGGGAACCCUGAUCCAGCCAUACCGCGUGUGUGAAGAAGGCCCUCGGGUUGUAAAGCACUUUCAGUGAGGAAGAACGCCUGGUGGUUAAUACCCAUCAGGAAAGACAUCACUCACAGAAGAAGCACCGGCUAACUCCGUGCCAGCAGCCGCGGUAAUACGGAGGGUGCGAGCGUUAAUCGGAAUUACUGGGCGUAAAGCGCGCGUAGGUGGCUUGAUAAGCCGGUUGUGAAAGCCCCGGGCUCAACCUGGGAACGGCAUCCGGAACUGUCAAGCUAGAGUGCAGGAGAGGAAGGUAGAAUUCCCGGUGUAGCGGUGAAAUGCGUAGAGAUCGGGAGGAAUACCAGUGGCGAAGGCGGCCUUCUGGACUGACACUGACACUGAGGUGCGAAAGCGUGGGUAGCAAACAGGAUUAGAUACCCGAGUAGUC
Molecule: ribosomal RNA, 465 nt
Filed under: Vreelandella stevensii
Lineage: Bacteria; Pseudomonadati; Pseudomonadota; Gammaproteobacteria; Oceanospirillales; Halomonadaceae
Description: partial 16S ribosomal RNA
Rfam family: Bacterial small subunit ribosomal RNA
Source: RNAcentral